Myzus persicae (green peach aphid) is the source of this 453-nucleotide long non-coding RNA. RefSeq lists it as uncharacterized. The record is from RefSeq and is a predicted model, not a curated record. The transcript has 4 exons. Lineage: Eukaryota; Metazoa; Arthropoda; Insecta; Hemiptera; Aphididae.
UAAAUUUGUAGAUAUGAUUUACGUACAUCAUGAUGAUUUGACAACUUUAAGACAAGAUUUCGAUGAAUUAUUAAAAGUAGACGAAGAUUUUAACGCAAUAAUGGAAGAUUUAUACGAUGUGAACUUUCUAUUUCCAACCAGCUAUUGUCAUGAGUACAGAAAUAAUAACUUAUAAUGGUACAGCUUGAAGUUAAAUGGUAAACAUUAGUAGUACAAGGUAAAUACAUUUUAUAUAAAUAAUAUUAACCAAAAAGUGUAAAGUUUUAACAAAUUAAAUUAACGUUUAGGAUAUGUCAAAAUUAAUGACUCUAUAGUCUUUCCUUUUACAUAUGGGUGAAAUAUUUAUAAUACUAGUUAGAGAGAGAUUUGGACUGAGUUUGAUCUCCAGUUUUUAGAUGAUUAGGCCCAUGUAUUUAAAUUUAAUUUGUUUGUUGUGAUUUACAGAAAGUACCU